AUGUUUGCUUGGGCUAGGAGAGCCAACCAUGUUUAUGAUCAAGUGGAAAUUGAUGAAGUGCGUAAUGAGCUCGCAAGUUAUGUGUUGAAGAACAUCCUCAAGCUGUAAUGUAUGCAGUUGCUCAUGCCCUAGAAGCUGUGAAGUGAAAUAGGCUAGAAAUGUAUUUUUGUGCUCCAAAGUGACAAUUUAAAGUGCAUUUCUUCACUUAUUUUG
Molecule: long non-coding RNA, 213 nt
Filed under: Rosa chinensis
Lineage: Eukaryota; Viridiplantae; Streptophyta; Magnoliopsida; Rosales; Rosaceae
Description: sRNA RchiOBHm_Chr5g0043571
Source: RNAcentral